Molecule: ribosomal RNA, 443 nt
Filed under: uncultured bacterium
Lineage: Bacteria
Description: partial 16S ribosomal RNA
Rfam family: Bacterial small subunit ribosomal RNA
Source: RNAcentral
CCUACGGGUGGCUGCAGUGGGGAAUAUUGGGCAAUGGGCGCAAGCCUGACCCAGCAACGCCGCGUGACGGAAGAAGGCUUUCGGGAUGUAAACUUCUUUUCUGAGGGACGAAAAAAGUGACGGUACCUCAGGAAUCAGCCACUGCUAACUACGUACCAGCCGCCGCUGUAAUCAGUGGGUUGCAAGCGUCAUCGGGAUUGAUGGGUUGGAAAGGGCGUGUAGGCGGGAAAGCAAGUCAGAUGUGACACCGCAGGGCGCACACCUGGGACUGAAUUUGAAACUGUUUUUCUUGAGUGCUGGAGAGGAAAUCGGAAUUCCGGGUGUAGCGGUGAAAUGCGUAGAUAUACGGAGGAACACCAGUGGCGAAGGCGGAUUGCUGGACAGUAACUGACGCUGAGGCGCGAAAGCGUGGGGAGCAAACAGGAUUAGAUACCCUUGUAGUC